GGCGAAAUAGGGGACAGGAGCCGCGGUCAGACGGUGGGGGCAAGGGUUGGCCUGAAUCAGUGGACGGAAAGGGCGUGUAGGCGGCCCUGUAAGUCCGCGGUGAAAGUCCAUGGCUCAACCCUGGGAUGCCGGUGGAUACGGGCGGGCUCGAGUCCGGAAGAGGAGUGUGGAAUUCCUGGUGUAGCGGUGAAAUGCGCAGAUAUCAGGAGGAACACCAAUGGCGAAGGCAGCACUCUGGGACGUGACUGACGCUGAGACGCGAAAGCGUGGGGAGCAAACAGGAUUAGAUACCCGGGAGUC
Molecule: ribosomal RNA, 300 nt
Filed under: uncultured Steroidobacter sp.
Lineage: Bacteria; Pseudomonadati; Pseudomonadota; Gammaproteobacteria; Steroidobacterales; Steroidobacteraceae
Description: bacterial SSU rRNA
Rfam family: Bacterial small subunit ribosomal RNA
Source: RNAcentral